CUACGGGGCGCUGCAGUCGAGAAUCUUCCGCAAUGGACGAAAGUCUGACGGAGCGACGCCGCGUGCGGGAUGAAGGCCUUCGGGUUGUAAACCGCUGUCAGUGGGGAGGAAAUGCAUCAGGGUUCUCCCUGGUGUUUGACCGAUCCGCAGAGGAAGCGCAGGCUAAGUUCGUGCCAGCAGCCGCGGUAACACGAACUGCGCGAACGUUAUUCGGAAUCACUGGGCUUAAAGAGUUCGUAGGCGGCCUUUCAAGUCGGGUGUGAAAUCCCUCGGCUCAACCGAGGAAUUGCGCCUGAUACUGUUGGGCUUGAGGGGGAUAGGGGUGAGCGGAACUGAUGGUGGAGCGGUGAAAUGCGUUGAUAUCAUCAGGAACACCGGUGGCGAAGGCGGCUCACUGGAUCUCUUCUGACGCUGAGGAACGAAAGCUAGGGGAGCGAACGGGAUUAGAUACCCGAUGUAGUC
RNAcentral lists this ribosomal RNA (462 nucleotides) under uncultured bacterium. RNAcentral's name for it is "partial 16S ribosomal RNA". It matches the Rfam family "Bacterial small subunit ribosomal RNA", at positions 339 to 795 of the family's 1533-position model. The record is from RNAcentral.